Molecule: ribosomal RNA, 544 nt
Filed under: uncultured bacterium
Lineage: Bacteria
Description: bacterial SSU rRNA
Rfam family: Bacterial small subunit ribosomal RNA
Source: RNAcentral
AAUAGAUACCCAGGUAGUCCACGCCGUAAACGAUGAGUGCUAAGUGUUAGGGGGUUUCCGCCCCUUAGUGCUGCAGCUAACGCAUUAAGCACUCCGCCUGGGGAGUACGGUCGCAAGACUGAAACUCAAAGGAAUUGACGGGGGCCCGCACAAGCGGUGGAGCAUGUGGUUUAAUUCGAAGCAACGCGAAGAACCUUACCAGGUCUUGACAUCCCAUUGACCGCUAUGGAGACAUAGCUUUCCCUUCGGGGACAGUGGUGACAGGUGGUGCAUGGUUGUCGUCAGCUCGUGUCGUGAGAUGUUGGGUUAAGUCCCGCAACGAGCGCAACCCUUGUUCUUAGUUGCCAUCAUUUAGUUGGGCACUCUAAGGAGACUGCCGGUGACAAACCGGAGGAAGGUGGGGAUGACGUCAAAUCAUCAUGCCCCUUAUGACCCGGGCUACACACGUGCUGCAAUGGACGGUACAAACGGUUGCCAACCCGCGAGGGGGAGCUAAUCCGAUAAAACCGUUCUCAGUUCGGAUUGUAGGCUGCAACUCGCCUAC